Molecule: ribosomal RNA, 372 nt
Filed under: uncultured bacterium
Lineage: Bacteria
Description: bacterial SSU rRNA
Rfam family: Bacterial small subunit ribosomal RNA
Source: RNAcentral
AACGAACGCUGGCGGCGCGCCUAACACAUGCAAGUCGAACGAGAAUCCGGGGCAACCCGGUAGUAAAGUGGCAAACGGGUGAGGAAUACAUGGGUAACCUACCCUUGAGAAGGGAAUAACCCGCCGAAAGGUGAGCUAAUACCCUAUACGCUAUCUUUUUUUCGAAAAGGAUAGGAAAGCCGGGUCGAGGACCUGGUACUCAAGGAGGGGCUCAUGUCCUAUCAGCUUGUUGGUGGGGUAACGGCCUACCAAGGCUACGACGGGUAGCUGGUCUGAGAGGAUGAUCAGCCACACUGGCACUGAGAUACGGGCCAGACUCCUACGGGAGGCGAGCUAGUGGAGGAAUUAUUGCGACAAGUGGGACGAAACGCC